UCAAGUCAAAUUUGUAUGGAGUUGGGACAUUUGGCUACGUUUGCCGCUAGGGGCGCUGUUCCAACUGCAUACAAAUUAGAGUUA
Molecule: non-coding RNA, 84 nt
Organism: Bombyx mori (domestic silkworm)
Lineage: Eukaryota; Metazoa; Arthropoda; Insecta; Lepidoptera; Bombycidae
Source: Rfam